CGCUGCCGGUGCCCGCCCGUCCCUGCACCGCCGGCCUCCCCGACUCCCUGCGCCGCCGGCUCCCGUGCCGCCCCGGCGAGCUGCAGCGCCUUCUCCUCAAUUCCUCGCGACUCGUCCUCCCGCCGUCGAUUCUUUGGUCAGGCGGUGCUCUUCUUUUCUCCUACGGCGAGCCCCUGCGCCCUCGACUCUUUGGUCAACGCGUCGAUUCUUCGUCCUGUGCUGCUCUGGCGAGCUGCAGCGCCGGGUGCCGUUGCCCUCCACGGUGGUACCCUGUCUCCGCUGCGCCGCAUCCUCGACUCACCCGCCCUCAGCCACCCUGUCUCCGCUGUGCUGCUGAUGAUGGUAACAUUCAGCAGUUGACGCCUAUCCCCAACCAACAAGUUGCAGGAGAUGAGCAGGUGCCCGAAGAUGUGCCGUGAAGCCCAGACCUGUCCAGCUCCCACGGGAACGCCGCGUGCAGAGCACCUCCAUCAAGAUUCUGGCCACAAGAUAUCUUCUUGCUAACUUCCAGGCGCUGAGUGUUCCUAUUGCAGGCAGUGGCUAAGAUGAGGUC
Panicum virgatum (switchgrass) is the source of this 553-nucleotide long non-coding RNA. RefSeq lists it as uncharacterized. Lineage: Eukaryota; Viridiplantae; Streptophyta; Magnoliopsida; Poales; Poaceae. The record is from RefSeq and is a predicted model, not a curated record. The transcript has 3 exons.